Molecule: ribosomal RNA, 490 nt
Filed under: uncultured bacterium
Lineage: Bacteria
Description: partial 16S ribosomal RNA
Rfam family: Bacterial small subunit ribosomal RNA
Source: RNAcentral
AUUGAACGCUGGCGGCAGGCCUAACACAUGCAAGUCGAACGGUAACAGGAAGAAGCUUGCUUCUUUGCUGACGAGUGGCGGCCGGGUGAGUAAUGUCUGGGAAACUGCCUGAUGGAGUGGGAUAACUACUGGAAACGGUAGCUAAUACCGCAUAACGUCGCAAGCCCAAAGAGGGGGACCUUCGGGCCUCUUGCCAUCGGAUGUGCCCAGAUGGGAUUAGCUAGUAGGUGGGGUAACGGCUCACCUAGGCGACGAUCCCUAGCUGGUCUGAGAGGAUGACCAGCCACACUGGAACUGAGACACGGUCCAGACUCCUACGGGAGGCAGCAGUGGGGAAUAUUGCACAAUGGGCGCAAGCCUGAUGCAGCCAUGCCGCGUGUAUGAAGAAGGCCUUCGGGUUGUAAAGUACUUUCAGCGGGGAGGAAGGGAGUAAAGUUAAUACCUUUGCUCAUUGACGUUACCCGCAGAAGAAGCACCGGCUAACUCCGUG